Molecule: ribosomal RNA, 292 nt
Filed under: uncultured bacterium
Lineage: Bacteria
Description: partial 16S ribosomal RNA
Rfam family: Bacterial small subunit ribosomal RNA
Source: RNAcentral
GUGCCAGCCGCCGCGGUAAGACGUAGGGAGCGAGCGUUAUCCGGAUUCAUUGGGCGUAAAGCGCGCGUAGGCGGCUUUGCAAGUCGGGUGUGAAAACCAGAGGCUCAACCUCUGGCCUGCAUCCGAAACUGCAUCGCUAGAGGUAGGUAGGGGAGAUCGGAAUUCCUGGUGUAGCGGUGAAAUGCGCAGAUAUCAGGAGGAACACCGGUGGCGAAGGCGGAUCUCUGGGCCUUACCUGACGCUGAGGUGCGAAAGCUAGGGGAGCGAACAGGAUUAGAUACCCCCGUAGUCC